ACUCCUACGGGAGGCAGCAGUGGGGAAUAUUGCACAAUGGGCGCAAGCCUGAUGCAGCAACGCCGUGUGAGUGAAGAAGGUUUUCGGAUCGUAAACUCUGUCCUAAGGGAAGAAAAAAUGACGGUACCUUAGGAGGAAGCCCCGGCUAACUACGUGCCAGCAGCCGCGGUAAUACGUAGGGGGCAAGCGUUAUCCGGAAUCACUGGGCGUAAAGGGUGCGUAGGCGGCUUAGCAAGCCAGGGUGAAAGGCAUUGGCUCAACCAAUGUAAGCCUUUGGAACUGUUAAGCUUGAGUGCAGGAGAGGUAAGUGGAAUUCCUAGUGUAGAGGUGAAAUUCGUAGAUAUUAGGAGGAACACCAGUGGCGAAGGCGACUUACUGGACUGUAACUGACGCUGAUGCACGAAAGCGUGGGUAGCGAACAGGAUUAGAUACCCUGGUAGGUCAGUC
Molecule: ribosomal RNA, 447 nt
Filed under: uncultured bacterium
Lineage: Bacteria
Description: bacterial SSU rRNA
Rfam family: Bacterial small subunit ribosomal RNA
Source: RNAcentral